AGUUUUGCAUGGUUGCACCAC
RNAcentral lists this microRNA (21 nucleotides) under Scyliorhinus torazame (cloudy catshark). Its description in RNAcentral is "Sto-Mir-19-P1a-v1_5p* (star (passenger))". The record is from RNAcentral. Lineage: Eukaryota; Metazoa; Chordata; Chondrichthyes; Carcharhiniformes; Scyliorhinidae.